UACAGAGGGUGCAAGCGUUAUUCGGAAUUAUUGGGCGUAAAGGGCGCGUAGGCGGCUUGGCAAGUGGAAGGUGAAAUCCCUCGGCUUAACCGAGGAACUGCCUUCCAGACUGUUAGGCUUGAGACCGGGAGAGGUGAGUGGAAUUCCCAGUGUAGCGGUGAAAUGCGUAGAUAUUGGGAGGAACACCAGUGGCGAAGGCGGCUCACUGGACCGGUACUGACGCUGAGGCGCGAAAGCGUGGGGAGCAAACGGG
Molecule: ribosomal RNA, 253 nt
Filed under: uncultured bacterium
Lineage: Bacteria
Description: partial 16S ribosomal RNA
Rfam family: Bacterial small subunit ribosomal RNA
Source: RNAcentral